This 60-nucleotide non-coding RNA is filed under the name Acetobacterium wieringae. RNAcentral's name for it is "Fluoride sequence". It matches the Rfam family "Fluoride riboswitch aptamer (crcB RNA motif)". Lineage: Bacteria; Bacillati; Bacillota; Clostridia; Eubacteriales; Eubacteriaceae. The record is from RNAcentral.
UUCAUAGAAGGUGAUGGAGUUCACCAAAAUUGCUUAUCAGCUGAUGACUCCUGCAGGAUU